This is a non-coding RNA of Ictidomys tridecemlineatus (thirteen-lined ground squirrel), 69 nucleotides long. Lineage: Eukaryota; Metazoa; Chordata; Mammalia; Rodentia; Sciuridae. The record is from Rfam.
GGGAAUAUUGCUCAAUGGUAGAGGUCUUGUCUGACAAGCAUGAGGCCCUGGGUUCGACCCCCAGCACCA